This is a long non-coding RNA of Alosa sapidissima (American shad), 1421 nucleotides long. RefSeq lists it as uncharacterized. NCBI's taxonomy places the organism in Eukaryota, Metazoa, Chordata, Actinopteri, Clupeiformes, Clupeidae. The transcript is spliced from 4 exons. The record is from RefSeq and is a predicted model, not a curated record.
UUUUCACGCUACUUCCGCUUUAUGCUGAGCUCAACAGUUCCAAACUUUGACAUUCACGGCUGUAGCCCCAUUCACUUCCAUUGCUUUCUGCCUGAUAUUGUCAGUGAUGCUGAAAGUGACAUGACAAGAGGACAUUGGCUGUCUUUAGGGACCGGGUUGACAAGUGGUUAUUGGAGUGAUUGAGUGGUGGUUGGAGUGAGGAAUAGGCUGCUGGAGCAACAAGACUCCCUGAAGCUGAGACUGGAAAGGGCAGGCCAAGUACUUCCAUGGCAACAAGCAAGGUGGGAGGCAUGGGUUUAGGUGCAGAAGGAUUUCGAGUCUUCCUUGCCUUUUUGCUUUGACUCUUGCUUCCAAGAUGGCCAUCAUCCUGUCGCUUUUUGUUCCUAUCAGCCCUAAUUGAUUUUGCUUCAAUACGAAGCCUCAGCCUGAUGUAUGUGUUGACAAUUUUUAGUUUUAGGUCAUGGCAUGAAGGCAGUGUGCUGUGCAGGAGCAUGGCCUCUCUCUGUAGUAGUGCCACUGCAUUGGCUGACUCCUUAAGGGAAUCGGUCGUCCUUGCCCGGAACAACUGCUCCACUUUGCUGAUGAGAUCGAAGGCCUCUUGUGAUGGACGGUGUUGCUGGGUCUAUCAGUUCCUCCAGCCUCAGACCAGGACUGCAGAUGGUGUCGAACCAGUGGUCUACCUUCUCAAGGAACCAAGAUGUGAGGUAAGACUGUGGCCGUUGCUCCUCCUCAGCCAGGUAUUUCAGGCCAGCACUGGUCGCUCUACUGAAGACGUGUAUGGCAGGUGACAAUGACACCGAAAUUGAAUAAAUAUGUGCUGUUGGGGUCAGAUCUUUGAAAAGUUGGGAUCUCAUUUGUCUGCUGCAUUGAAGUUGGUCAACAACAAAAAUGGAAAUGAUUUUGCAGUCAUGAAGGAUAAAUUGGUAUGUACUGUGAUAGUAUGUACUGUGUCUCUGUGUUAAGGGCCGUUCACACCAGGAACUGUAACGAUAAAUGCGUCCACACUGACCAACAAUAACAAAAGUCUCUCCUUGUGUUGAUGAAUUUGCUGGCUAAAGUUUAAUGGAUUCUGAUUGCCUGUCAGCUUUUUAUUCUCAAAAUAACUCUUGACAGAUAUAGUUGGGAAUCACAUUUUUAGUGUUGUUAUCAUUAUAGUUCAUGUGUGGAUGUAAGGUCUGGCUCCCCCAACCGACCUUGCAGAGGUCGGCCGUGUAUGGGUAUGUAAAACUCUUGCUGGUCUCUUUGGUUUCUGGUAAUAACUUGAUGUGGCAUCUGUGAAUGUCUUGUACCAAGUGUACACUGACUGUUACCUGCUCUCUCCAUUCUCCACUGUGCCUGUUCUUACCUAGGACCAAGGAUGCAGAGGACAAGAUGGGUGUGCGGUAUGACUGAAAUGAUCAGAAAAGGUCAGAAGAGGCCCU